CUACUGGGGUUUCUAAUCCCGUUCGCUCCCCACGCCUUCGUGCCUCAGCGUCAGGUGUAUCCCAGUUGGCCGCCUUCGCCACGGGUGUUCCUCCCGAUCUCUACGCAUUUCACCACUACACCGGGAAUUCCACCAACCCCUGAUACCCUCAAGCUCACCCGUCCUCGACGACCCUCCCCGGUUGAGCCGGGGGCUUUCACGCCGAGCGCGAUGAGCCGCCUGCGCACGCUUUACGCCCAGUAACUCCGGACAACGCUCGACCCCUACGUAUUACCGCGGCGGCUGGCAC
This 289-nucleotide ribosomal RNA is filed under the name uncultured bacterium. Its description in RNAcentral is "partial 16S ribosomal RNA". The record is from RNAcentral.